Molecule: unclassified non-coding RNA, 317 nt
Filed under: uncultured fungus
Lineage: Eukaryota; Fungi
Description: partial contains 5.8S ribosomal RNA and internal transcribed spacer 2
Rfam family: 5.8S ribosomal RNA (bases 1-133)
Source: RNAcentral
UGGUUCUGGCAUNGAUGAAGAACGCAGCGAAAUGCGAUAAGUAAUGUGAAUUGCAGAAUUCAGUGAAUCAUCGAAUCUUUGAACGCACAUUGCGCCCUUUGGUAUUCCGAGGGGCAUGCCUGUUCGAGCGUCAUUUCAACCCUCAAGCUCAGCUUGGUCUUGGGCCCUGCCGGUAACGGCUGGCCUUAAACAUAGUGGCGGUGCUCUUCAGCUCUACGCGUAGUAAUUUUACCCUCGCGAUUGAGUUGGUGGGGCUACGAGCCAGCAACCCUUAUUUUUUCUUGGUUGACCUCGGAUCAGGUAGGGAUACCCGCUGA